This 253-nucleotide ribosomal RNA is filed under the name uncultured bacterium. RNAcentral's name for it is "partial 16S ribosomal RNA". It matches the Rfam family "Bacterial small subunit ribosomal RNA", at positions 524 to 776 of the family's 1533-position model. The record is from RNAcentral.
UACGUAGGGUGCAAGCGUUGUCCGGAAUUAUUGGGCGUAAAGAGCUCGUAGGUGGCCUGUCGCGUCGGCUGUGAAAACUCGGGGCUCAACUCCGAGCUUGCAGUCGAUACGGGCAGGCUAGAGUUCGGCAGGGGAGACUGGAGUUCCUGGUGUAGCGGUGAAAUGCGCAGAUAUCAGGAGGAACACCGGUGGCGAAGGCGGGUCUCUGGGCCGAUACUGACACUGAGGAGCGAAAGCGUGGGGAGCGAACAGG